UUCUUGGUCAUUUAGAGGAAGUAAAAGUCGUAACAAGGUUUCCGUAGGUGAACCUACGGAAGGAUCAUUAAAGAAAUUUAAUAAUUUUGAAAAUGGAUUUUUUUGUUUUGGCAAGAGCAUGAGAGCUUUUACUGGGCAAGAAGACAAGAGAUGGAGAGUCCAGCCGGGCCUGCGCUUAAGUGCGCGGUCUUGCUAGGCUUGUAAGUUUCUUUCUUGCUAUUCCAAACGGUGAGAGAUUUCUGUGCUUUUGUUAUAGGACAAUUAAAACCGUUUCAAUACAACACACUGUGGAGUUUUCAUAUCUUUGCAACUUUUUCUUUGGGCAUUCGAGCAAUCGGGGCCCAGAGGUAACAAACACAAACAAUUUUAUCUAUUCAUUAAAUUUUUGUCAAAAACAAGAAUUUUCGUAACUGGAAAUUUUAAAAUAUUAAAAACUUUCAACAACGGAUCUCUUGGUUCUCGCAUCGAUGAAGAACGCAGCGAAAUGCGAUACGUAAUGUGAAUUGCAGAAUUCCGUGAAUCAUCGAAUCUUUGAACGCACAUUGCGCCCCUUGGUAUUCCAGGGGGCAUGCCUGUUUGAGCGUCAUUUCCUUCUCAAACAUUCUGUUUGGUAGUGAGUGAUACUCUUUGGAGUUAACUUGAAAUUGCUGGCCUUUUCAUUGGAUGUUUUUUUUCCAAAGAGAGGUUUCUCUGCGUGCUUGAGGUAUAAUGCAAGUACGGUCGUUUUAGGUUUUACCAACUGCGGCUAAUCUUUUUUUAUACUGAGCGUAUUGGAACGUUAUCGAUAAGAAGAGAGCGUCUAGGCGAACAAUGUUCUUAAAGUUUGACCUCAAAUCAGGUAGGAGUACCCGCUGAACUUAAGCAUAUCAAUAAGCGGAGGAA
RNAcentral lists this ribosomal RNA (882 nucleotides) under uncultured fungus. Its description in RNAcentral is "eukaryotic LSU rRNA". The stretch from base 433 to 586 matches the Rfam family "5.8S ribosomal RNA". The record is from RNAcentral. Lineage: Eukaryota; Fungi.